Molecule: ribosomal RNA, 468 nt
Filed under: uncultured bacterium
Lineage: Bacteria
Description: partial 16S ribosomal RNA
Rfam family: Bacterial small subunit ribosomal RNA
Source: RNAcentral
GACGAACGCUGGCGGCGUGCUUAACACAUGCAAGUCGAACGGAAAGGCCCUGCUUUUGUGGGGUGCUCGAGUGGCGAACGGGUGAGUAACACGUGAGUAACCUGCCCUUGACUUUGGGAUAACUUCAGGAAACUGGGGCUAAUACCGGAUAGUAGCUCCUGCUGCAUGGUGGGGGUUGGAAAGUUUCGGCGGUUGGGGAUGGACUCGCGGCUUAUCAGCUUGUUGGUGGGGUAGUGGCUUACCAAGGCUUUGACGGGUAGCCGGCCUGAGAGGGUGACCGGCCACAUUGGGACUGAGAUACGGCCCAGACUCCUACGGGAGGCAGCAGUGGGGAAUAUUGAAAAAUGGGCGGAAGCCUGAUGCAGCAACGCCGCGUGCGGGAUGACGGACUUCGGGUUGUAAACCGCUUUCGCCUGUGACGAAGCGUGAGUGACGGUAAUGGGUAAAGAAGCACCGGCUAACUACGCG